This 490-nucleotide ribosomal RNA is filed under the name uncultured bacterium. RNAcentral's name for it is "partial 16S ribosomal RNA". It matches the Rfam family "Bacterial small subunit ribosomal RNA", at positions 30 to 507 of the family's 1533-position model. The record is from RNAcentral.
AUUGAACGCUGGCGGCAUGCUUUACACAUGCAAGUCGGACGGCAGCACAGAGAAGCUUGCUUCUUGGGUGGCGAGUGGCGAACGGGUGAGUAAUAUAUCGGAACGUACUGAGUAAUGGGGGAUAACUAAUCGAAAGAUUAGCUAAUACCGCAUAUUCUCUGAGGAGGAAAGCAGGGGACCUUCGGGCCUUGCGUUAUUCGAGCGGCCGAUAGCUGAUUAGCGAGUUGGUGGGGUAAAGGCCUACCAAGGCGACGAUCAGUAGCGGGUCUGAGAGGAUGAUCCGCCACACUGGGACUGGGACACGGCCCCGACUCCUACGGGAGGCAGCAGUGGGGAAUUUUGGACAAUGGGCGCAAGCCUGGUCCAGCCAUGCCGCGUGUCUGAAGAAGGCCUUCGGGUUGUAAAGGACUUUUGUCAGGGAAGAAAAGGCUGUUGCUAAUAUCGACAGCUGAUGACGGUACCUGAAGAAUAAGCACCGGCUAACUACGUG